This 85-nucleotide transfer RNA is filed under the name Felis catus (domestic cat). It matches the Rfam family "tRNA". From Rfam's summary of the family: Transfer RNA (tRNA) molecules are approximately 80 nucleotides in length. Their secondary structure includes four short double-helical elements and three loops (D, anti-codon, and T loops). Further hydrogen bonds mediate the characteristic L-shaped molecular structure. tRNAs have two regions of fundamental functional importance: the anti-codon, which is responsible for specific mRNA codon recognition, and the 3' end, to which the tRNAs corresponding amino acid is attached (by aminoacyl-tRNA synthetases). tRNAs cope with the degeneracy of the genetic code in two manners: having more than one tRNA (with a specific anti-codon) for a particular amino acid; and 'wobble' base-pairing, i.e. permitting non-standard base-pairing at the 3rd anti-codon position. The record is from Rfam by way of RNAcentral. Lineage: Eukaryota; Metazoa; Chordata; Mammalia; Carnivora; Felidae. RNAcentral also lists the same sequence under 2 other names.
GCCUGGGUGGCUCAGUCUAUUGAGUGCCUGACUUUGGCUCAGGUCAUGAUCUCACAGUUUGUGGGUUCGAGCCCCACAUCGGGCU